AGAGUUUGAUCAUGGCUCAGAUUGAACGCUGGCGGCAGGCUUAACACAUGCAAGUCGAGCGGUAACAGGGGUAGCUUGCUACCUGCUGACGAGCGGCGGACGGGUGAGUAACGCGUAGGAAUCUACCCAGUAGCGGGGGAUAGCCCGGGGAAACCCGGAUUAAUACCGCAUACGCCCCACGGGGGAAAGCAGGGGAUCUUUGGACCUUGCGCUAUUGGAUGAGCCUGCGUCGGAUUAGCUAGUUGGUGGGGUAAAGGCCUACCAAGGCGACGAUCCGUAGCUGGUCUGAGAGGAUGAUCAGCCACACCGGGACUGAGACACGGCCCGGACUCCUACGGGAGGCAGCAGUGGGGAAUAUUGGACAAUGGGGGCAACCCUGAUCCAGCCAUGCCGCGUGUGUGAAGAAGGCUUUCGGGUUGUAAAGCACUUUCAGUGGGGAGGAAAUGGUCAUGGUUAAUACCUGUGACAAUUGACGUUACCCACAGAAGAAGCACCGGCUAACUCCGUGCCAGCAGCCGCGGUAAUACGGAGGGUGCAAGCGUUAAUCGGAAUUACUGGGCGUAAAGCGCGCGUAGGCGGUCUGGUCAGUUGGGUGUGAAAUCCCCGGGCUUAACCUGGGAACUGCAUCCAAUAUUGCCAGGCUGGAGUAUGGGAGAGGGUAGUGGAAUUCCACGUGUAGCGGUGAAAUGCGUAGAUAUGUGGAGGAACACCCGUGGCGAAGGCGACUGCCUGGCCCAAUACUGACGCUGAGGUGCGAAAGCGUGGGUAGCGAACAGGAUUAGAUACCCUGGUAGUCCACGCCGUAAACGAUGUCAACUAGCCGUUGGAGGACUUGAUCUUUUAGUGGCGCAGCUAACGCGAUAAGUUGACCGCCUGGGGAGUACGGCCGCAAGGUUAAAACUCAAAUGAAUUGACGGGGGCCCGCACAAGCGGUGGAGCAUGUGGUUUAAUUCGAUGCAACGCGAAGAACCUUACCAGGUCUUGACAUCCUGAGAAUCCUGUAGAGAUACGGGAGUGCCUUCGGGAAUUCAGUGACAGGUGCUGCAUGGCUGUCGUCAGCUCGUGUCGUGAGAUGUUGGGUUAAGUCCCGUAACGAGCGCAACCCUUGUCCUUAGUUGCUAGCAGGUAAUGCUGAGAACUCUAAGGAGACUGCCGGUGACAAACCGGAGGAAGGUGGGGACGACGUCAAGUCAUCAUGGCCCUUACGACCUGGGCUACACACGUGCUACAAUGGCCGGUACAAAGGGCAGCAAAGCGGUGACGUGGAGCCAAUCCCAUAAAACCGGUCGUAGUCCGGAUUGGAGUCUGCAACUCGACUCCAUGAAGUCGGAAUCGCUAGUAAUCGUAGAUCAGAAUGCUACGGUGAAUACGUUCCCGGGCCUUGUACACACCGCCCGUCACACCAUGGGAGUGGGUUGCACCAGAAGUGGCUAGUCUAACCUUCGGGGGGACGGUCACCACGGUGUGGUUCAUGACUGGGGUGAAGUCGUAACAAGGUA
RNAcentral lists this ribosomal RNA (1499 nucleotides) under metagenome. RNAcentral describes it as "bacterial SSU rRNA". It matches the Rfam family "Bacterial small subunit ribosomal RNA". The record is from RNAcentral.